RNAcentral lists this long non-coding RNA (769 nucleotides) under Homo sapiens (human). RNAcentral's name for it is "non-protein coding lnc-LRP8-2:2". Lineage: Eukaryota; Metazoa; Chordata; Mammalia; Primates; Hominidae. The record is from RNAcentral.
CGGAAGGUGAGGAGAGAGAGAGAGAGAGAGAGAGAAGAAUGGCUGGGGCCAGGUGUUUUCUCCUAGACCAGCAGGAUGAGAAUAGGAGAAGGACCAUUAUUCCUUUACACAGGUGGGAAAGACUGAGGCCCAGAGAGGGCAGUCAUGCGCUCAAGACCACACAGCCAGUCAGCACAGUCAGGGAUUGGAGCCAGGACUUUCCCUGCUGGGCCAAGGGAGGACAUGGGAGGAAGGAGGGGCUUGGAGGGGGAGCCGUCGGCUGCCCCAGAGGACAGAUGAGGAAACCAAGGCUUGGGAGGAGAAGCGGCGCAUCCUGUGGCACACAGUAGGUGUGACACAAGACAGCUGACUCUGGCUUCCAGGCUCUUCCCACAGAUCUGCAGAGCUUCUGCCCUCCCAGCCCCACCUGCCAGGACUAGGUCCUCUCCGCCGGCCCUGCAGCUGCGUUCUCUGCCUCUGCUCUGUGGACUGAUGCCUCACACGAGCUCCCUGGCCUCUGGCUUCUGGUGGGUUUGCUCAGCAGGAAGGAGCAGCAGGAGCUCUGGGGGUGGGAAGGAGAGAGAGGCUGGCAGGUUCACUCCCUGGUGCCGUCCCUGCUGAGCCAGUUGUGUUCCUGUACCGAAGGCCACUGGCCCUCUUCCACUGCCUCAGCCCUCACGUGGCUCCAGGACCGCUGCCCGCUUUGCCCUGCGGGUCCAGGGGUAGUAACUGCUCCCCACUGUUGCUGUCUCGGGGAAUUUAACCAUCCCUUCACCUGUCAUUAAACUCA